CAGCGCACUCCGGGGUCGGUGUAAUUCCGAACCGGCGGUUACAGUCCGCGACCCGUCCGCAUCCAGUGGGCGGUUGACCAGGUGAGAUUCCUGGACCGACGGUGAAAGUCCGGAUGGGAGGCAGUGCGCGG
Molecule: regulatory RNA element, 131 nt
Organism: Streptomyces tsukubensis
Lineage: Bacteria; Bacillati; Actinomycetota; Actinomycetes; Kitasatosporales; Streptomycetaceae
Rfam family: FMN riboswitch aptamer (RFN element)
About the family: The RFN element is a highly conserved domain that is found frequently in the 5'-untranslated regions of prokaryotic mRNAs that encode for flavin mononucleotide (FMN) biosynthesis and transport proteins. This element is a metabolite-dependent riboswitch that directly binds FMN in the absence of proteins.
Source: Rfam